AUUGCUGUCCCUAGCAGUCCUCUUACAAAAAUAGAUAGGGCAGAGUCUUUGCAGUUGGCAAGUUUCAAGUUUGAGACGCUAAACCAUUUGGCCGCCGCCGAAACCGAGCAGUACCACUCUCCCUUCAACUUGUUAUGGAGCAGCCUCAUGAUUAUGACGAGAGGAAGAUGAAUCCUUUAAGAAUCACCAGAAACGCCCCGAAACGGCUGCUGCCUUCGACGGUAACGCCAGUCCUUCCGGAUGAACUCCUCACAGAAAUCUUUCUGAGACUUCCGGCAAGGCUUCUUCUUAGUGUACGGAGUGUGUGCCGUUCAUGGAGAACCCUAAUUUCCAGUUCCCAAUUCGCCACCUACCAUGUUCAACGUUCAAUCACCGCGGAUCCAAGUUUGGGUGGGCUCCGAUUUGUUGUUUAUCAUCAUACUUGCAGCUACAGAUUUGGAAAUUUCUCCGUACGAUGCUUGUUCGAGAACCCUUCCAAACCUACUGAAGAUGCUCUCUUCCAGAUAAGCGGUUGCCACCAAAUUAUUGGCUCUUGCAAUGGAUUGAUGUGCUUGCGUGAGAAAGUUGGCACCGACUACCGUGUCAUGCUGUGGAAUCCCUGUACUGGAUUGACAUCCGAUUUGCUGGAAAUUCGGGGUUGUAACAUAUGGGCUUCCGACUUCGGCUAUGAUCAUGUGAAUGACAAAUACAAACUUGUUACGACUUUAUAUCAGGAACAGAAAUCUCAUAUAAUUGAGACCAGAAUUUAUACAUUUUGCAGGAACCCUUCCAUGAGAACGAUUCAAGAUGUUUCAUUUCGUAAAAUAUAUGGUGCUUGUACAGGGUCAAGAGGGAUAUUUGUGCCUGGCACUGCCACUCUUAACUGGAUUCUUAGGCAUGACACACGGACUCUGGAUUACUUGCUGGUUCUUUCCCUUGACUUGGUGACCGAGACUUGUACUCAGUUUUCCCUGCCCCUCAACAAUAAUCAGUAUAAUAAAACCAUCUUCCCAAAGUUAUGUUUGCUGAGGAACUGCCUUGCAUGUUGUUUUAAUCAUGAGAAAAUUCAGUGGUCUGUGUGGGUGAUGAAGGAGUAUGGAGUGCCUCAAUCUUGGACUAAAUUGGCCAUCAUCCCCUAUCACUCCUAUCACUCGAGUCUAUCUUCAGGUAUAUCUGCUGAUCAUUUAUUGCCAUUGUAUAUCUGGGAAAAUGUUAUUAUGGCAGCUGCAUCGUAUUCAAGAAUAGUUCUUUAUAACAUAGAUAAUGGCAGCUUUAAAUUUCCUGUAUUGAAACCUACUUCUCCGUCUUACUAUUUUGGAUUGCAAGUCCAUAUUUAUCACGAAAGCUUAGUUUCACCACCAUAUCUUGGCCUUCGAAGUAGCUCAUCCCAAAUCAGGUUGAUCAAGCCCUAGUGUACAAGCUGUCUUCUAAAUGAGCAUAUAGGAUAAUAGGAACCAAGACUGCUAGACAAAUCAGGAGCCAUGCAGAGAAAUUCUUCACAAAGGGUAUGCAGAGCUGAGUUGAAAAAUAGAACUCUGAGUUUGCUCAUUCCACAAUUAUACACACCAAAGCCUAAUGAUAACUGAAUGAGACAAGUUAUACAAGUUCUACAGUUUUAUAUUUGUAUUGAAAAAAUUAGAUGAAGGAAUUGUUUCGUUACUAUCAUUAUUGAAAUUAAAAAUUAACUAAUAUAUCAAUUCAAAGUCUGAUAUGUUAGAAAAGGUUGGAUAAUAAAAAGUUCUCUCUUA
Non-coding RNA from Arachis ipaensis, 1727 nucleotides. NCBI's taxonomy places the organism in Eukaryota, Viridiplantae, Streptophyta, Magnoliopsida, Fabales, Fabaceae. The record is from RefSeq and is a predicted model, not a curated record.